Molecule: ribosomal RNA, 813 nt
Filed under: uncultured bacterium
Lineage: Bacteria
Description: bacterial SSU rRNA
Rfam family: Bacterial small subunit ribosomal RNA
Source: RNAcentral
GCUGUGAAAGUAGCUUGCUACUUUGCCGGCGAGCGGCGGACGGGUGAGUAAUGUCUGGGGAUCUGCCUGAUGGUGGGGGAUAACUACUGGAAACGGUAGCUAAUACCGCAUAACGUCGCAAGACCAAAGUGGGGGACCUUCGGGCCUCACGCCAUCGGAUGAACCCAGAUGGGAUUAGCUAGUAGGUGAGGUAAUGGCUCACCUAGGCGACGAUCCCUAGCUGGUCUGAGAGGAUGACCAGCCACACUGGAACUGAGACACGGUCCAGACUCCUACGGGAGGCAGCAGUGGGGAAUAUUGCACAAUGGGCGCAAGCCUGAUGCAGCCAUGCCGCGUGUGUGAAGAAGGCCUUCGGGUUGUAAAGCACUUUCAGCGAGGAGGAAGGUGUUCGUGUUAAUAGCACGGACAAUUGACGUUACUCGCAGAAGAAGCACCGGCUAACUCCGUGCCAGCAGCCGCGGUAAUACGGAGGGUGCGAGCGUUAAUCGGAAUUACUGGGCGUAAAGCGUACGCAGGCGGUUUGUUAAGUCAGAUGUGAAAUCCCCGAGCUUAACUCGGGAACUGCAUUUGAAACUGGCAAGCUAGAGUCUCGUAGAGGGGGGUAGAAUUCCAGGUGUAGCGGUGAAAUGCGUAGAGAUCUGGAGGAAUACCGGUGGCGAAGGCGGCCCCCUGGACGAAGACUGACGCUCAGGUACGAAAGCGUGGGGAGCAAACAGGAUUAGAUACCCUGGUAGUCCACGCUGUAAACGAUGUCGAUUUGAAGGUUGUGGCCUUGAGCCGUGGCUUUCGGAGCUAACGCGUUAAAUCGACCGC